CGGGACACGUGGUAUCCUGUCUGAAUAUGGGGGGACCAUCCUCCAAGGCUAAAUACUCCUGACUGACCGAUAGUGAACCAGUACCGUGAGGGAAAGGCGAAAAGAACCCCGGCGAGGGGAGUGAAAAAGAACCUGAAACCGUGUACGUACAAGCAGUGGGAGCACGCUUAGGCGUGUGACUGCGUACCUUUUGUAUAAUGGGUCAGCGACUUAUAUUCUGUAGCAAGGUUAACCGAAUAGGGGAGCCGAAGGGAAACCGAGUCUUAACUGGGCGUUAAGUUGCAGGGUAUAGACCCGAAACCCGGUGAUCUAGCCAUGGGCAGGUUGAAGGUUGGGUAACACUAACUGGAGGACCGAACCGACUAAUGUUGAAAAAUUAGCGGAUGACUUGUGGCUGGGGGUGAAAGGCCAAUCAAACCGGGAGAUAGCUGGUUCUCCCCGAAAGCUAUUUAGGUAGCGCCUCGUGAAUUCAUCUCCGGGGGUAGAGCACUGUUUCGGCAAGGGGGUCAUCCCGACUUACCAACCCGAUGCAAACUACGAAUACCGGAGAAUGUUAUCACGGGAGACACACGGCGGGUG
RNAcentral lists this ribosomal RNA (579 nucleotides) under Escherichia coli. Its description in RNAcentral is "partial 23S ribosomal RNA". It matches the Rfam family "Bacterial large subunit ribosomal RNA", at positions 418 to 997 of the family's 2925-position model. Lineage: Bacteria; Pseudomonadati; Pseudomonadota; Gammaproteobacteria; Enterobacterales; Enterobacteriaceae. The record is from RNAcentral.